ACUGUAUCUUUAAAAGUUAGUCUAAAAAGGUUCAGCCUUUUAGAAAUGGGUACAACCUUCACUAGAGAGUAAGACUUUACAACACCAUAGUAGGCCUAAAAGCAGCCAUCAAUUAAGAAAGCGUUAAAGCUCAACAAUAAAAAUAAAAUUAAUCCCAACAAUAAUACAGCUAACUCCUAGACCUAAUACUGGACUAUUCUAUUAUUAAAUAGAAGCAAUAAUGUUAAUAUGAGUAACAAGAAAUAUUUUCUCCUUGCACAAGUUUAAGUCAGUAUCUGAUAAUAUUCUGACUGUUAACAGUAAAUAAAAACAACCCAACAAUAAAUAAUUUAUUAAUUGUACUGUUAACCCAACACAGGAGUGCCCCCAGGAAAGAUUAAAAGAAGUAAAAGGAACUCGGCAAACACAAACCCCGCCUGUUUACCAAAAACAUCACCUCCAGCAUUUCCAGUAUUGGAGGCACUGCCUGCCCAGUGACUAAACGUUAAACGGCCGCGGUAUCCUGACCGUGCAAAGGUAGCAUAAUCAUUUGUUCUCUAAAUAAGGACUUGUAUGAACGGCCACACGAGGGUUUUACUGUCUCUUACUUCCAAUCGGGGA
RNAcentral lists this ribosomal RNA (600 nucleotides) under Capra hircus (goat). RNAcentral's name for it is "partial large subunit ribosomal RNA". It matches the Rfam family "Bacterial large subunit ribosomal RNA", at positions 968 to 2039 of the family's 2925-position model. The record is from RNAcentral. Lineage: Eukaryota; Metazoa; Chordata; Mammalia; Artiodactyla; Bovidae.